GUAUUUUUGUAGAGAUGGAGUUUCACCAUGUUGGCAAGACUGGUCUCGAACUCCUGACCUCAAGUGAUCCACCCGCCUCGGCCUCCCAAAGUGCUGAGAUUACAGGCAUGGGCCCCCACUCCCAGCCAAGUAAAGUUUGAAGUGAACACUUGUAUACCCACAGCCUACAGUCCACCACCCACCUUUGUCUAUACUUGUUUUAUUCCACAUCCGUCCAUCCCUCUAUCUAUCCAGCAAUCCAUCAGCAUUCAUUUCCAAUUGCAGCUGGAAAUAAUUCCCACAAACUGUGGGACUUCAUACGACACAAAUUUCUUUCUUUUUUUUUUUAUUUUUUGAGACAGAGUCUUGCUCUGUCGCCCAGGCUGGAGUGCAGUGGCGUGAUCUCGGCUCACUGCAAGCUCUGCCUUCC
This 409-nucleotide long non-coding RNA is filed under the name Homo sapiens (human). RNAcentral's name for it is "non-protein coding lnc-PNPLA5-5:1". Lineage: Eukaryota; Metazoa; Chordata; Mammalia; Primates; Hominidae. The record is from RNAcentral.